UCUCAUAUCUCUCUAUACGGGAGAGAAGCUUCGACUAAGGUUCGAUUCGAGCGUCAGCGAGAAAGCGUUGCCGCAGGCAACGAC
RNAcentral lists this small RNA (84 nucleotides) under Salmonella enterica subsp. enterica serovar Cerro. Its description in RNAcentral is "partial RtT sRNA". It matches the Rfam family "RtT RNA", at positions 1 to 83 of the family's 130-position model. From Rfam's summary of the family: This family represents a bacterial cis-regulatory element known as RtT RNA. Lineage: Bacteria; Pseudomonadati; Pseudomonadota; Gammaproteobacteria; Enterobacterales; Enterobacteriaceae. The record is from RNAcentral.